Molecule: ribosomal RNA, 164 nt
Filed under: Urochloa leersioides
Lineage: Eukaryota; Viridiplantae; Streptophyta; Magnoliopsida; Poales; Poaceae
Description: 5.8S ribosomal RNA
Rfam family: 5.8S ribosomal RNA
About the family: 5.8S ribosomal RNA (5.8S rRNA) is a component of the large subunit of the eukaryotic ribosome. It is transcribed by RNA polymerase I as part of the 45S precursor that also contains 18S and 28S rRNA.
Source: RNAcentral
AACACGACUCUCGGCAACGGAUAUCUCGGCUCUCGCAUCGAUGAAGAACGUAGCAAAAUGCGAUACCUGGUGUGAAUUGCAGAAUCCCGUGAACCAUCGAGUUUUUGAACGCAAGUUGCGCCCGAUACCUUCUGGUUGAGGGCACGCCUGCCUGGGCGUCACGC